GAAGAGAUUGAUCAUGGCUCAGAUUGAACGCUGGCGGCAGGCCUAACACAUGCAAGUCGAGCGGUAGCACAGAGAGCUUGCUCUCGGGUGACGAGCGGCGGACGGGUGAGUAAUGUCUGGGAAACUGCCUGAUGGAGGGGGAUAACUACUGGAAACGGUAGCUAAUACCGCAUAACGUCGCAAGACCAAAGUGGGGGACCUUCGGGCCUCAUGCCAUCAGAUGUGCCCAGAUGGGAUUAGCUGGUAGGUGGGGUAACGGCUCACCUAGGCGACGAUCCCUAGCUGGUCUGAGAGGAUGACCAGCCACACUGGAACUGAGACACGGUCCAGACUCCUACGGGAGGCAGCAGUGGGGAAUAUUGCACAAUGGGCGCAAGCCUG
This 381-nucleotide ribosomal RNA is filed under the name Mycobacterium kumamotonense. Its description in RNAcentral is "Mycolicibacter kumamotonensis bacterial SSU rRNA". It matches the Rfam family "Bacterial small subunit ribosomal RNA", at positions 1 to 385 of the family's 1533-position model. The record is from RNAcentral. Lineage: Bacteria; Bacillati; Actinomycetota; Actinomycetes; Mycobacteriales; Mycobacteriaceae.